GACGAACCGUGCGAACGUUAUUCGGAAUCAUUGGGCUUAAAGCGCGUGUAGGCGGUUCCGCAAGUCAGGUGUGAAAGCCCAGGGCUCAACCCUGGAAGUGCACUUGAUACUACGGAGCUUGAGUACUGAAGAGGAGAGCGGAAUUCCCGGUGUAGAGGUGAAAUUCGUAGAUAUCGGGAGGAACACCAGUGGCGAAGGCGGCUCUCUGGGCAGAUACUGACGCUGAGACGCGAAAGCAUGGGGAGCAAACAGG
This 253-nucleotide ribosomal RNA is filed under the name uncultured bacterium. RNAcentral's name for it is "partial 16S ribosomal RNA". It matches the Rfam family "Bacterial small subunit ribosomal RNA", at positions 524 to 776 of the family's 1533-position model. The record is from RNAcentral.